Papio anubis (olive baboon) is the source of this 2795-nucleotide long non-coding RNA. Lineage: Eukaryota; Metazoa; Chordata; Mammalia; Primates; Cercopithecidae. The record is from Ensembl.
UUCUUCUUAUUGAGGGAAUGAUGUUGAAAAUAGGUAUAGUAGUCUCUUCUCCCAUUGCUAUAAAGAAAUUCCUGAGACUGAUUAGUUUAUUUAAAAAAAAAUAGAGAGGUUUAAUUGGCUCACAUUUCUUCAGUCUGUGCAGGGAGCAUAAUGCUGGCAUCUGCUCAGUUUCUAGGGAGGUCUCAGUCAACUUAACAUCAUGGGAGAAGGCAAAGGGGAUGCAGGCCCAUCUUACAUGGCUGGAGCAAGAAGUGGGGGAAGGUGCUACACACUUUUAAGCAACCAUAUCUUAUGAGAACACUAUGAUGAUAACAUCACCAAAGGGGGAAAUCCACCCUCAUGAUCCAAUCGUCUCCUACCAGGUCUCACUUCCAACAUUAGUGAUCACAAUUCAACAGGAGAUUUGUGCAGGACACAAAUCCAAACUAUAUCAAUGGGGCUCUAAUUUAAUGUAUAUUCUAUAUACUGAAGAAGAGUAUUCAUGAUUUCAGAAUGUACCUCUGAACUGGCUGUGAAUUUGGAAGGCAUUCCAGUGCUCUUAUGAGGGCAGCUUUUUCUGGAUGAUAUGGCUCUCAUUCUUCUCCCUGCCACCAUGUGAAGAAGGACAUGUUUGCUUCCCCUUCCACCAUGAUAGUAAGUUUCCUGAGGCCUCUCCAGCCCUACAGAACUGUGAGUCAAUUAAACCUCUUUUGUUUUUACCCACAUUUGGCGGUUCUUUAUUGCAGUGUGAGAAUGGACUAAUAAGUAAAUUGGUACUGGUAGAGUGGGGUGCUGCUAUAAAAAUACUCAAAAAUAUGGAAGCAACUUUGGAACUGUGUAACAGGCAAAGGUUGGAACAGUUUGGAGGGCUUAGAAGAAGACUGAAAAAUGUGGGGAAGUUUGGAACUUUCUAGAGACCUGGAGGGCUAGGAAGAUAGGAAGAUGUGGGAAAGUUUGGAACUUCCUAGAGACUUGUUGAACGGCUUUGACUAAAAUGCUGAUAAUGAUAUGGACAAUGAAGUCCAGGCUGAGGUGGUCUUAGAUGGAGAUGAGGAACUUGUUAGGAACUGGAGUAACAGUCACUUUUGCUCUACAAAGAGGCUGGAGGCAUUUUGCCCUUGCCCUAGAGAUCUGUAGAAAUUUGAACUUUGGAGAGAUGAUUUAGAGUUUCUGGUGGAAGAAAUUUCUAAGCAACAAAAUGUUCAAGAGGAAUCAGAGCAUAAAAAUUUAAAAAUUGCACAGCAUGAUGAUGCAAUAGAAAAGAAAACUCUGUUUUCUGGGGAGAAAUUCAAGCUGACUGCAAAAAUUUUCGUAAGUAAUGAGGAUCCAAACGUUAAUCACCAAGGCAAUGGAGAAAAUGUCUCCAGGGCAUAUCAGAGUUCUUCAUGGCAGUCCCCCCCCGCCGUCCCCCAUCACAGGCCUGGAGGCCUAGGAGAGAAAAAUGGUUUCUUGGGCUGGGCCCCAGGGCCCAUGACCUGAAUGUGAGACAUGGAGUCUACGGGGAUUAUUUUGGAGCUUUAAGAUUUAAUUACUGCCUCAUUGGAUUUCAGUAGGCAUGGGGCCUGUAGCCCCUUUGUUUUGGCCAAUUUCUUUCAUUUGAAAUGUGUGUAUUUACCCAAUUCCUGUACCACCAUUCCCCAUUGUUUCUAGGAAGUAACUAACUUGCCUUUGAUUUUACAGACUCAUAGGUAGAAGGGACUUGCCUUGUCCCAGAUGAAACUUUGGACUGUGGACUUUUGGGUUAAUGCUGGAAUAAACUAAGACUUUGGAGGACUAUUGGAAAGGUACAAUUGUGCUUUGAAAUGUGAAGACACAAGAUUUUGGAGGGUCUGAUGGCAGAAUUAUAUGGUUUGGCUAUGUCCUCACCCUAGUCUCAUCUUGAAUUGUAGUUCCCGUAAUCCUCAUGUGUGGUGGGAGGAACCUGGUGGAAAGUAAUUGAAUCAGGGGGGCAGUUUCCGCCAUGCCAUUCUCAUGAUAGUAAGUUCUCAUGAGAUCUGAUGGUUUUAUAAGGUGCUUUCCCCUACAGUAGGUUCUCAUUGUUCUCCUUCCUGCUGCCAAGUGAACAAGGAUGUAUUUUCUUCCCCCUUUCGUCAUGAUUGUAAGUUUCCUGAGGCCUUUAAUUGUGAGUCAAUUAAGACUCUUUCCUUUAUAAUUUACCCAGUCUCAGGCACUUCUUUAUAGCAGUGUGAGCACAAACUAAUACACCUGACGUUGCCCUUCUUUCUUCACACCAAAUAUCAUUCCUCUCUAUUGGCUCUCAUUCCCAUUUUCUCCCCACCAAACUGAGCAUUCUUCAUAAGUAAGUAAUAUUAUUUGGAUAUUUGUCCCCCAAAAAUCUCAUGUUGAACUGUAAUGCCCAAAACUUGAGGUGGGGCCUGGCAGGAAAUAUUCAGGUUUUGGGGACAGAUCUCUCAUGGCUUAGUGCUGUCUUUGCAACAGUGUGUAAGUGCUUGUGAGAUCUGGUUGUUUAAAAAUGUGUGGCACCUCCCCAUUACCUUUCUCUUCUGCUCCUACUAUGGCCCUGUGAUUGACAGUUCUCCCUCUGACUCUACCAUGACUGUAAGAUUCCUGAGGCCUCAUUAGAAGCCAAGCAGCUGCCUGGCACUGUGCUUCCUCUACAGCCCAUGGAACCGUGAGCCAAUUAAACCUCUUUUCUUUUUAAAUUACCCAGUCUCAGAUAUUUCUUUAUAGCAAUGCAAGAGCUGUCUAACAUAGUGAGAAUUUCUUCCAUUUUUUUUUUCUCUUAAUGUUGGCAUCUUUAACUCAUCCAUUUGGAUCAGUCUUUGAGAGCUUUUAAGAAUCUUAUAUUACUCCCG